UGGCGAGUGUGAUUCCGCAGUCUUGGGCUGUUUGGCCAAGCGCCCGCCGGACAUGGUACGCCGAAGGGUCAUCGGCGUGGAGUCCUCGCUUUCAGCGUCCGCGGCUGGGAAAUCGGCCAUCGCUACGGCGGGAACUGGGACUCGGGCUGCGUCCCGGCCCUUCCACAUCGGUCCACCGCACUCGUGGGCGCCCGCAUUGGUGCUGACAUAAUUUCCUGACCUCUGACCCGUAUUGUCUCGCGAUUAAAGAGCUGCGCCUGGAUCCCUCAGCAGUGAGGAGACCUGAAGACCAGAGGAAACACAGCAAGUCCAGGCACUCCCACUCCUCCUGAGAGAAAUCUACAGCCACAUCCCUGAACAUCAUCAACUGUUGGAAAGAAUAAUUCCAAGUAUUAAUGGGGCUCACCAGAGAAGACAGGGCAAGGUGAGGGGGAUCUCCUAGCAGAGGAAACAACAUGCGCCAAUCAAGCAAAGAUAUUUUUGUGCAUUCAAGGAACACAGAGAGGAAAGACAGUGGCAGAUGGAGACGUAUAAAGCAGGGAUCCUGUUAUGAAAAGCCCUAAAAAAUAGGGUAUAGAGUUUGGGCCAUAUUUCAGAGGUAAUAAGAAAGCAUUCUGCAUUUUUAAAGUAAGGUUUAAAAAUGUUUCUAAUUAGAGAUACAGCAAAGUUGGUGUGAGAGGAUAAAGACUGAUAUACAUAAUCUGAGGAGUUCAUGAAAAUUCCAUGUAAAGCCUGUAGUAUGAAUUGGUCCUAGGAGACAGACAGCUUCAGGGGCAUAGAGAACUUUAAGCACUUUUCCAAGAAGAGUGAAGGGCUGGAGAAUAAAUUGUGAACUAAAAUAUAUUUUGUG
RNAcentral lists this long non-coding RNA (850 nucleotides) under Homo sapiens (human). RNAcentral's name for it is "ZNF790 antisense RNA 1". Lineage: Eukaryota; Metazoa; Chordata; Mammalia; Primates; Hominidae. The record is from RNAcentral.